This 380-nucleotide unclassified non-coding RNA is filed under the name uncultured bacterium. Its description in RNAcentral is "contains 16S-23S intergenic spacer region". The record is from RNAcentral.
UCCGAGUUGACCCCGGCAGUCUCCUAUGAGUCCCCGCCAUAACGCGCUGGCAACGGGACGCAAGGGUUGCGCUCGUUGCGGGACUUAACCCAACAUCUCACGACACGAGCUGACGACAGCCAUGCAGCACCUGUGUAGGCUGGUAUUGCUACCUCGUCCCGCUUUCACGGUUCUACUACCUACAUGUCAAGGCCAGGUAAGGUUCUUCGCGUUGCAUCGAAUUGAGCCACAUACUCCACCGCUUGUGCAGGCCCCCGUCAAUUCCUUUGAGUUUUAAUCUUGCGACCGUACUCCCCAGGCGGUCAACUUCACGCGUUAGCUUCGUUACCAAAGAAUUGCUUCCCCGACAACUAGUUGACAUAGUUUAGGGCGUGGACUAC